CCGCCACGGCCUCAGACCAGGCAAGGUGCUCAGGCCGACGGGAUGCGUAGACAAGCAACACGCUCCCUAUCUGGGAGGAGACUGCCAGCCGGUCCUCCUCCUCGCAGGCCUGGUGAAGCCAGCCCCACCUGGCAAGGGACUGUCAGCAAAUUCCCCUCUGCAUCAUCGCGGGAGUGGCAUCCCAGCUCCUCCCCGGCAGGAGCCAACCUUGGCUCCGCCCCAAGGCUGCUCCUACCCGCCAAGGAACCCAGGCUGAAUUAGCCUAUGCAAAGAUCCAGGCUCCGCCUCAAAGACUUUGUCGCUACCAGGAACCAUCUGCAAAUCACCAUCGCAAAUGCACACGGCUGCCAGUCCCUUGCUGCAGUCGAUCCAGCAUCCUCUGAUGCUUUGGGCCUCGCUGCUGUCUUGUUACUCUCUACCCCCACUACAGCCCUCAGUGCCACUCCAAGCUCUCCUCUGAGACAUGUCCGUCUUCCAAACCUCCCAACCCUGCCAGCCAAAGCAGGGAAAGGCACACAACCGCACAGAGGUAGCAGUGCUGUGCCCCGCCCAGGGACGAGCUCCUGGCAUCGCCCAGUGGCUGGUAGCCAGUUCCGCCUCCUUCUUCCCCAAGGGAAGAGGCUGGGGGAGGACGCUGCAAGAAGGUGGCUGCCUGUAAGCCAAAGACAGAGCCUCAGAGAAACCAACACUGUCGCACCUUGAUCUUGGACUUCCAGACUCCAGAACUGUGAGAAACCUCCUUAGAAGUCAUCUAAAUCCUGCUGGAGAGCCCCAAAUCCUUCGCUGGAACUCCAGUCUCUAUGAGGCAACCUAU
Molecule: long non-coding RNA, 814 nt
Filed under: Equus asinus (donkey)
Lineage: Eukaryota; Metazoa; Chordata; Mammalia; Perissodactyla; Equidae
Description: lncRNA (ENSEASG00005027919.1)
Source: RNAcentral